UUUGGGGUGUUACAGGUUCACACGCCAGCGGCGCGGCGGCGCGAGGAAAGGGCGUAGCUCCGUAGAUAGCGCCCUACCCCAGAGACCGAGAUAGCAGCACCCUGAGUCGGCUUAGCUUAGGGUUUUUAUAAGUUAAAGAACAAACUUGUAUUAAGUAUUGUAAUAAUCGGAUUGUAUUUUGGAAGUUUAAGGUAAUCAAAUUGUAUUAUGUGGACUUUGAGAAUGAAUGUUUGUAAUAGCAAGUAGUUUUAUAUUUUUGGUA
RNAcentral lists this long non-coding RNA (262 nucleotides) under Ananas comosus (pineapple). Its description in RNAcentral is "long non-coding RNA (ACOM_LNC012157)". The record is from RNAcentral. Lineage: Eukaryota; Viridiplantae; Streptophyta; Magnoliopsida; Poales; Bromeliaceae.